Molecule: long non-coding RNA, 3107 nt
Organism: Ostrinia furnacalis (Asian corn borer)
Lineage: Eukaryota; Metazoa; Arthropoda; Insecta; Lepidoptera; Crambidae
Exons: 2
Source: RefSeq, a predicted model, not a curated record
AACAGUAAUUUGAUGAUAUUGCCCCCCUAUAACGAAAUACUGUUCUGAUUACCGUAGAUAAAAAAAGCCCUAUGGGAUCCCACACACUAGCGACGUUGACUUGUCAGCGCUCGCGCAGCGACCACUCGGCGCUGGCUUAGCGUCGACUGGGCGCUGGCUCAAUGUCGAUUGGCGCUGGCUCAAUGUCGACUGGGCGCUGGCUCAAUGUCGAUUGGUGCUGGCUCACGGCGCUGCUGCGUGGGUUGGGUCAGUGCGCCACUGCCAGGUCCUCGCUGACGUCACAAACUCGUUACUAUGCUGUGGAAGGCUCAGGCUUAUAUGCGCGAGCACCGGGACGAGGUGCGCGAGCUUACGGCGCUGCUUCGAGGGUAGUCAGAUGAAUACAAACAACAGUAGGUCCACUGCACAUAAUAAUCUUGAAAGACUUAUUAGCAGGUCUGUAGAAGAAUGUCUGUCUGCGUGUUUUUCUUAGGUGAGUCAGCAAUUUUCCUGUGAUUUUAGACUUAUGAGUUUCUAAUAAGUUCGUGCUAUUUUUUACUUAUGAACUAUGUUACUAUGAGAUGUCAGACCUAUAUAAAUGAAUGAAUUUGUAGGCAAAAGUUGGUUCGAUUGUAAAAAAGAGUUCUUUCGUAUUUAACAACAUACGAAAACAUUUUAUUAAGUUAUUUUAUUACUUUACUUUUACUAGUAAACAAUGUAACAUUACAGGGUCGGUAUAAGUAUAUGAAAUGGGUAGAAUACCAAAAUCUGUGACCGUAGUGUGUUAUUUAAUUUUAGUACAUAAUAUCACUGCUCACCGUUUCAGGUUUUAUCCAUAAUUUGGGUAAAAUAAACAUUAGGAAUAAGUAGUAGUUUGCCUAAUUGAAGAAUAUUUGUAUCGGACUUGCAACGAAGUUUAUAACUGGCUACAUAAUUAUCUCGAAAACAUUAUAAUCUUCAUAAUUACCGUCGAAUACAUUAUUAAUUUAUCAUCUAUAUUCGACGGGUGGCAAGAACCAGCUUUUUGAGGUGGUAGAGGUUAUUUUUGAAAGUUGGAAAAAGGAGGAAAUUAAAAUAAAAAGGAUUUCUAUACCACAAGAUUUCUUAAAGACAUUAUUUUGUGUGAUAUGUUAUAAAAAUAACCAAUCUUCUGUUCCGUCGGCUGCCGAAAUUCGUUGCAAGCCAAAUUUUUAUUUAUUCUAUGAAUAGGGUGUGAUAUUACCCACCCUGUAACAAUUGCAUUGAGAGUCAGGCAUAAAAUAUUGCUAGGGAUGUACAAUUUUUCGAUAACUCGAUAUUCUAUAUUGAAGUGAAGUAGUUAAAGAAGUAAUGAGAGACGAAAGCAAGUGCCUGAUAUUGCAACCACUCGUUACGUAAUGUAGAUUAAGAGAUUAAUUUUGCUUGUUCAUAGAUAUAUCAAUUAAAUGUACCGAUAUUUAGUUAUGUAUGUAGUUAAAAUGUCAGAUUGUUGUUGCAUGCUUAUCUUGGUUGUUGUUGGUCUUUUAGUUAACAAGGGUGUAGUUUGUUAGCUGUUUUAGUGUUUAAACAUUUUGUCAUAUUUAGCUGUAGUAUGUAAUGUUUUACCGAAUGAAUGUAAGUACAAGCUGCAUGGAUAAAGAAUUCGAACAAAAUAAUGACAGACGUGAGUGCUCUUCUGUGUCGUUUGACUAAGGGUAGACAAAAAUUUUAGAUUUUUAUCUUGGUGAUAAUUUAUUGAUAUGCAGUUAUCGCUCAAAUUUUUAAUUUGGUAUCAAAAUUCAGAUCAUAUUUGAUGUUACCGCUCACUAUCGAUACAAACUAAAGUAAAGUAUCGAUAACAUAAACUCAACAAUAAUAUAGACGAUCAUAAAACUCAAUACUACUGGUGAUCAAUACCUGUGACUAAAAACACACACCAUUAAAAUAUAUCGUUUGUGUAAUCGUAUCGAUAAUCUAAUAUUAUAUCGAGAAACGAAUAUUGUUAGUUCCACAUCACUAGAUGAAAGCUGUAUUAUGCUUUUGUAUGCAUUUCUACAAAUUAAAAUGAUUAUUUACAAAUAAUAAUUAAACAAAUAUCGUAUAAUCGAAUACAGUUAAAGAACUAAUAUUUUUUACUUAAAUUAUGAUGAAUAGCUGUAAUAAAAACAUUUAAACAUAAUUCUUUAUCUACGCGGAUUGUCCAGAAUAAACGAGUUAAUGUAAAAGAUAGUCUGAAAAAACAUCACAAAUAUACUAAUAGCUUUCUUUGUUAAAACAUUUAUUAUUAAAAUAUUUGUACACGAACAAAAUUAUGUAAGAGAAAACGAAAAUUAUUCGAGUAUUAAGAAAAUGCCUUUGUUGUUUUUUAACCCGUAAAAUCUAUCUUAGAUUGUGACAACAGUCGUCUUGUUUAGAUUAUUUACCAUAGUUCUGCAGUUAAACCGCAAAUGAGACGAUUGUCCAUUGUUGCAUAGUAAAAUAUACCAAUUGCAUAUUACUAGUCAAAGUGGUUUUACUUUAAUUUAAAAAAUAUUACGUGUUUCCGUUUUAGUACCUGACUGUACUAUACUAUUUCUGUUUUAUGUAUAAAUUAUGUAGUCAUGUCGUUUCAUCAUAAUGAAGUUAUUUUUUUAAAGAUCAAUAAUUUUCUUAUAAUUAAUUGUUUGUGAAUCGUUAUAAUUUAAAGUACACAUGAAUGCAAAAUAAUGUAUGAUUUCAAUUGUUAAAAAUUGUUGAAGUUCAUCAAUUUAAUAAAUUGAAGAAAAUACCUAAUGUAAGAUGUAUUCAAAAGAAAUAUGUAUCAAGUAUUUAUUUAUGUUCUGUAAAAUUAAACUUAAAAAUCUAUAAGAAGAAAUGAAAUAUUUCAGAUCUAUCAACAGCUUUGACAUUUCUAUGUCAAAAUGCCAUUCACGAUUUGUCGUCCUACAUGGUAUUGGUAUAUAUAUUUCCCUUAUAAUUUCCAUUAUAACAAGGAAAUCUCUUCCCAUAGCAUUUUUACCGUGUAAUCCAAAUAAACGAUAAUAUGAAAUCCAGGUGUUUUAUUAAAAUACAACAAUUAUUUUCAAAGCUCUUUAUUCUUUAUAUUAUUUUUCUAUUCUAAUGCUUAUACAAAGACUCAAUAAUAUCACAUUUCUGAUGUGGAUAUUAUCAAUCCACAGACUAAGCUAAAA